GGGCUCAUAGCUCAACUUGGUCAGAGCGCCUGACUCAUAAUCAGGUAGUUGUCGGUUCGAAUCCGACCGGGCUCA
This 75-nucleotide transfer RNA is filed under the name candidate division MSBL1 archaeon SCGC-AAA259E22. RNAcentral describes it as "tRNA-Met". It matches the Rfam family "tRNA". From Rfam's summary of the family: Transfer RNA (tRNA) molecules are approximately 80 nucleotides in length. Their secondary structure includes four short double-helical elements and three loops (D, anti-codon, and T loops). The record is from RNAcentral. Lineage: Archaea; Methanobacteriati; Methanobacteriota.